CAUAACCUUUGUUGUCCGACUCUGUUGCCUCCGGGGCGACCCUGCCUUCGGGCGGGGGCUCCGGGUGGACACUUCAAACUCUUGCGUAACUUUGCAGUCUGAGUAAACUUAAUUAAUAAAUUAAAACUUUUAACAACGGAUCUCUUGUUUCUGGCAUCGAUGAAGAACGCAGCGAAAUGCGAUAAGUAAUGUGAAUUGCAGAAUUCAGUGAAUCAUCGAAUCUUUGAACGCACAUUGCGCCCCCUGGUAUUCCGGGGGGCAUGCCUGUUCGAGCGUCAUUUCACCACUCAAGCCUCGCUUGGUAUUGGGCAACGCGGUCCGCCGCGUGCCUCAAAUCGUCCGGCUGGGUCUUCUGUCCCCUAAGCGUUGUGAAACUAUUCGCUAAAGGGUGUUCGGGAGGCUACGCCGUAAACAACCCCAUUUCUAAGGUUGAA
RNAcentral lists this ribosomal RNA (434 nucleotides) under Davidiellaceae sp. UFMGCB 3723. Its description in RNAcentral is "eukaryotic LSU rRNA". The stretch from base 125 to 278 matches the Rfam family "5.8S ribosomal RNA". The record is from RNAcentral. Lineage: Eukaryota; Fungi; Ascomycota; Dothideomycetes; Cladosporiales; Cladosporiaceae.